This 658-nucleotide ribosomal RNA is filed under the name uncultured Alphaproteobacteria bacterium. RNAcentral describes it as "bacterial SSU rRNA". It matches the Rfam family "Bacterial small subunit ribosomal RNA", at positions 48 to 751 of the family's 1533-position model. Lineage: Bacteria; Pseudomonadati; Pseudomonadota; Alphaproteobacteria. The record is from RNAcentral.
CUAACACAUGCAAGUCGAACGAAGUGCUUCGGCCUUAGUGGCGCACGGGUGCGUAACGCGUGGGAAUCUGCCCUUGGGUUCGGAAUAACAGUUAGAAAUGACUGCUAAUACCGGAUGAUGACGAAAGUCCAAAGAUUUAUCGCCCAGGGAUGAGCCCGCGUAGGAUUAGGUAGUUGGUGGGGUAAAGGCCUACCAAGCCGACGAUCCUUAGCUGGUCUGAGAGGAUGAUCAGCCACACUGGGACUGAGACACGGCCCAGACUCCUACGGGAGGCAGCAGUGGGGAAUAUUGGACAAUGGGCGAAAGCCUGAUCCAGCAAUGCCGCGUGAGUGAUGAAGGCCUUAGGGUCGUAAAGCUCUUUUACCAGGGAUGAUAAUGACAGUACCUGGAGAAUAAGCUCCGGCUAACUCCGUGCCAGCAGCCGCGGUAAUACGGAGGGAGCUAGCGUUGUUCGGAAUUACUGGGCGUAAAGCGCACGUAGGCGGUUAUUCAAGUCAGAGGUGAAAGCCCGGGGCUCAACCCCGGAACUGCCUUUGAAACUAGAUGACUGGAAUCUUGGAGAGGUCAGUGGAAUUCCGAGUGUAGAGGUGAAAUUCGUAGAUAUUCGGAAGAACACCAGUGGCGAAGGCGACUGACUGGACAAGUAUUGACGCUGAGG